UCCCUAUUUGCUCAUAUACUACAAUUGUCAUCCAUAGGGUUUAAUUUGUGUGUCAAGUUAAUUUUCACAUCACUUUCUCUCUUCCCUCUUGACCGAUGUGGGACUUUGGGGUUCCAACAUAGAGAAUCUCAAAAUUGCACUCACAGUCAUGCUCUUUUUGUGAUGCGUAUUCAUUUCACAUGCUUCCAAAAAGAGCCGUUAGGCUAUUACAAAAGAGAGAGAGAGAGAGUCUAUGAACUCAUCUCAGCCAUUCAUUGGCUUUGCCCUAUAAGACAAUGCCAGAUGCUCACAAUCGAGCCUAAAACAAUUAGAUACAAUCUCAGCCCUUGAUCUAUAACAACCUAACAACACAAGCAUUUCCGUAAUUAAAUCAAUUAAUUGUUAAGGCAUAAUUCCAAUACAAGCAUUACUCCUUGUUGUCCUCUUUGUCGAACUCCGACAAUAACAAGAAGUCCAAGCACGCUGCCACCGUCAAAGCCAAGGUUGAAGACAACCAGCCGUCGGCACACAUUUCCGUCAAAUCCAAAUCCCUCAAGUGGUACAAAAACCACGAAAGCUUUUCAAUGGAUCAUGGUCAUCCUCAAAAACCUGUGCAUUCCUCUUUGCGACAAAAACUUGAAGAGGCAAAGUUCUCCAGCAAGCAAAUAAAUAAGAACUGAAAGAAAGAAGUCUCCUGCAAACAAAGUUCCCAAAUCAAGUGGGAAUGAUGGUCGCGUAGAAACCAAAAGGAAAAAGUCAUCUCAAAGGCUUUCCUUUUUAAAACAAGUUGUUGUGCUGUUCUAUUACACCAGGAACUUAAAAAUAUCACAUUAUUAAAAAAGAAAUAAUAUAGAGGGAGGAUGCCUCACGUCGUUGGUAUGCGAAGAGGUGAUUGUCGUAAUCUUCCAAGAAGACAAGCACAAGCAACAACCCUCAUUGACCACAAAGAAGAAUUAGGAGUAAACUAAUUUUCUAGAACAAGUUCUUUUCCGAACUUGUCGAAAGAAGAAAUAUGCAACUGAUGAUCUUUAAUCAUCACUUGUUUAUAUUUGGCUGCUUGUUGCUGCUCUAUGCUUCAAAGAAUGCUCAGAAAAGAUGAAGCAGAAAAGUCUUUUAAAUGACUUGAAUGGAACCAUGUUUUUUUUUUUUUUUGGAGCUAAUAAUAUUAUCUACACUAAGGAGAAGAUGUGGGCUUAAGGGGGAAGAGGUGGGCUUAGCCUCAUAAUGAGCUAGCAAUAAU
Molecule: long non-coding RNA, 1219 nt
Filed under: Malus domestica (apple)
Lineage: Eukaryota; Viridiplantae; Streptophyta; Magnoliopsida; Rosales; Rosaceae
Description: long non-coding RNA (MDOM_LNC010502)
Source: RNAcentral